RNAcentral lists this long non-coding RNA (2635 nucleotides) under Hordeum vulgare. Its description in RNAcentral is "long non-coding RNA (HVUL_LNC003923)". Lineage: Eukaryota; Viridiplantae; Streptophyta; Magnoliopsida; Poales; Poaceae. The record is from RNAcentral.
ACAAUACAUCCAAUAACAGCAAAAAGCAAUCUUAUCAUAAUAUAACACAUAUAAAUGUGAUUAGCAUUAAGUUUACAAUGAGAUAAAAAGCUCUACAAGUGUAUAGUAAUGAAGCAUCGCAUGGGCUUCAUUACUCCGAGAACUAGAUCCACUGAACUAUGCUUCUUCUUUUUUGUCCUGAUGCUUGUGAAGAAACAUGAAAGGCCAGCAUCUGCACGUUAUACAACAAAAUGGUUAGGAACAAAAUAAAAAUAAUCUAACAACAUAUUUAACAGUAAAUAACAAAUAAUGCAAUAAAUUGGUACAAAGCAAGGUACAAUGCAUAGGCCAGAGCAACAGUAACUUGGUACUAAAUCUAGAAAUCACCAUUUGAAAUAAAUUUAAUAGGACAUUUUAGAAUCAAUUUGUCAGCUCACAGUAAUGUUUGCAUUGGACACAUCCAGAACUAAAAUUAUAUAGAAAUUCCUAAAUUCCAAUGCCCAAUGCCCGAAAUGUAAGAUGUUGGUUCUAGAAAAUAAUAACUUGCAACCAGAUUGAAAACAGAUUAACAAGGUGAUGCUAUGACCAAAUCCUAACCAGAAUGCAUUUAAUAAAAUGGAUUGCUUCUGGCUGUUGUACUAGAAUGCAUUUAACCAGAUUUAAUGCAUUUAAUAUAUAUACAUGCUAACGACAUGUAGGUUUCAUCAGGUCAUGAUCAAGUACUCCAAAUCAUUGCAUGCUUUGCAAAAAAUACUAGAUGAAUCUCACUAAUAGGAGCACUAGAUGAUUAAUGGAAGAAGUAAUCUGCAGAUUACACAGUGAACAAGUGAAGGAUUUAUAUCUCUCCCUGUGGAAGAACUAAGUCGACGAAGACAUGCAGCAGCAGGAGAAGCCUUGCAUCAUCAGUGUAAUGAGAAAAUUGGUUAUUGCAGAGUUCAUCACAAUGAGAUUACUGCAACAGCAAACUAUACUAGCACCAGAGAAAAUGGAACCAAAUGAUUAUUAUUACUAUAAAAUUAAAAGGAAGCUCAACUUAUAUCCAUGNNNNNNNCAGGAGAAGCCUUGCACCAUCGGUGUAAUGAGAAAACUCGUUAUUGCAGAGUUCAUCAGAGUGAGAUUACUGCAGCAGCAAACUAUACUAGCAAGAGAGAAAAUGGAACCAAAUGAUUAUUAUUAGUAUAAAAUUAAAAGGAAGCUCAACUUAUAUCCAUGGUUUCCCUCUUGUGAAGCAAGCAUCAAACAACACAAUAGCAAUGAAAUUGCACAUCCGAAUCGAACAAGACGUGAUGGGGUGUUGUGUCGAGAAAAAUGCAAGUAUUUUGUGCACAUCACAUCAGAUCUGCAUGGGUAGAAAGACGAAGUGGAGCUCACCACAUGUGGGCGUAGGAGAGAUAGGUUGAGCAUCCAUGAGAAGUUGUCCACCUGCAGCAACAGCUUGUCCGCGUCAUAGCAACCUGCACGCAAAACAAACGCAAGGAUCAAAAGAUGUAGAAACUAAAGCUGGAAGUCGCNNNNNNNNNNNNNNNNNNNNNNNNNNNNNNNNNNNNNNNNNNNNNNNNNNNNNNNNNNNNNNNNNNNNNNNNNNNNNNNNNNNNNNNNNNNNNNNNNNNNAAAUAUGUCAACUAACGACCUUCCAUAUUGGUCACCGAAUGGUCAUUGAUUUCCAUUUGCGACCUUUUUACGACCAAAAACAGAUGGUCAAAAGCCGAGGGUCUCUAAUGAACUAUAACGACCUUUUUGCUAGAUUGGUCGUAGGAUUUUACGACCAAACGAAAGAAUUGAAAUUAUUUUGGUCGUUGGUUGUCUGCCCAACCCACAUCGGAUCCAACGUGGCAAUCUGACGUGGCAAAGUUACGACCAAUUGGAUUGGUCGUUGGUAAGAAUCAGCCCGGUCCAAUUCGGUGUUUUACAUGGGCCGAGCCCAACAAAUCAGCCUUUUUAUUAUUUUUUCCUAUUAAUUUUCAUCAGCUAAAUGGGUCAGGCCCAACAUUUUAGCCUUUUUAUUUUUGGGCUGUAGCCUUUGUUUUUUGUUUUUUUAAUGCACCCCAAUUGUCAAGUUCUGGUAAGUGGGUCCCACAUGUCACAUUCUGCUUUUUGGGCCCGUGUUGUCAAGGUCAUGUUUUUCAGAUUUCAAUAUGCUCAUAAUUAAACAACCAAUAUUUAAAUAAAAAUAGACAAAAAAAAGACACAAUACAUCCAAUAACAGCAAAAAGCAAUCUUAUCAUAAUAUAACACAUAUAAAUGUGAUUAGCAUUAAGUUUACAAUGAGAUAAAAAGCUCUACAAGUGUAUAGUAAUGAAGCAUCGCAUGGGCUUCAUUACUCCGAGAACUAGAUCCACUGAACUAUGCUUCUUCUUCUCCGAUACUUGUGAAGAAACCUGAAAGGCUAGCAUCUGCACGAUAUACAACAAAAUGGUUAGGAACAAAAUAAAAAUAAUCUAACAGCAUAUUUAACAGUAAAUAACAAAUAAUGCAAUAAAUUGGUACAAAGCAAGGUACAAUGCAUAGGCCAGAGCAACAAUAAAUUGGUAUUAAGUACAGAAAUCACCAUCUGAAAUAAAGUUAAUAGGACAUUUUAGAAUCAAUUUGUCAGCUCACAGUAAUGUUUGCAUUGGACACAUCUAGGACUAAAAUUAUACUGAAAUUCCUAAAUUCC